Molecule: ribosomal RNA, 137 nt
Filed under: uncultured bacterium
Lineage: Bacteria
Description: partial 16S ribosomal RNA
Rfam family: Bacterial small subunit ribosomal RNA
Source: RNAcentral
UAGGGAAUAUUGCUCAAUGGGGGAAACCCUGAAGCAGCAACGCCGCGUGGAGGAUGAAGGUUUUAGGAUUGUAAACUCCUUUUGUUAGAGAAGAUUAUGACGGUAUCUAACGAAUAAGCACCGGCUAACUCCGUGCC